RNAcentral lists this ribosomal RNA (497 nucleotides) under uncultured bacterium. RNAcentral's name for it is "partial 16S ribosomal RNA". It matches the Rfam family "Bacterial small subunit ribosomal RNA", at positions 28 to 507 of the family's 1533-position model. The record is from RNAcentral.
GAUGAACGCUGGCGGCGUGCCUAACACAUGCAAGUCGAACGAACGGACCAGAAGUUUGCUUCUCUGAUGUUAGCGGCGGAGGGGUGAGUCACAUGUGGAUAACCUACCUAUAAGACUGGGAUCAUCUCGGGAAACCGGAUCUUAUCACGGAUGAUCUUUUGCACCGUGUGGUUCAAAAGUGAAAGACGGUCUUGCUGUCAGUAAUAGCUGGAUCAGCGCUGCAUUAGCUAGUUGGUAAGGUAACGGCUUACCAAGGCGACGAUGCAUAGCCGACCUGAGAGGGUGAUCGGCCACACUGGAACUGAGACAGGGUCCAGACUCCUACGGUAGGCAGCAGUAGGGAAUCUUCCGCAAUGGGGGAAAGCCUGACGGAGCAACGCCGCGGGAGUGAUGAAGGUCUUCGGAUCGGAAAGCUCUGUUAUGAGGGAAGAACAUAUGUGGAAGUAACUGUGCACAUCUUGACGGUACCGAAUCAAAAAGCCACGGCUAACUACGUG